GGAAGGGUGCGUGAGUGGUUGAAACGUGCGGCUUGCUAAGCCGUUGUACUGCUUAUAGCGGUACCGAGGGUUCGAAUCCCUCCCCUUCCGCCA
Molecule: transfer RNA, 93 nt
Filed under: Candidatus Omnitrophota bacterium
Lineage: Bacteria; Pseudomonadati; Candidatus Omnitrophota
Description: Candidatus Omnitrophica bacterium tRNA-Ser
Rfam family: tRNA
About the family: Transfer RNA (tRNA) molecules are approximately 80 nucleotides in length. Their secondary structure includes four short double-helical elements and three loops (D, anti-codon, and T loops).
Source: RNAcentral